UCGGUGGAAACACUCCUCACUGUCGCAUGUCGUCUUCACCGUCUCGGACUGCAGAAGUACCGGUCUUCACCGUCACCAGCAUCGGCACUCGAAUGGCCGCCUCUGUCGCUCCGACCGUCACGGCUCUGGACUUAAAGAGGGUCCUUGAGAGAGCUCACUUCAAUUGCUUUCCGGAAAUAGGAGAGAUAAGGGUUGAUGGAGUGAUGGUGGAGCGUAGGUCAUGCCUUUAUUAUUUACCCAGGUCAAUGCCAAUAAAAUAUGCUUUCCAGGGAAUUGAAGGGCCCUGGUUUGUUCACUUGGAUAUAACAUGUUUAGGAAGUUCAAGUCAGCCAUGCUUACAUCACUGCAUAGCUAGAGGUGAUCAUUUCUCAGAUGUUUGUGACACAGACCGUUCGACAUCUCAAUACCUUCUCUUGUCAGAUAACAUUCAGAGAGUGGACAAAUAUGGAGAAAAGGAAUCUCACCACUGUAAACCUCUAUCACCACAGCUUCAAAGGGAUACUCAUGGGCCAAACAAAAAGAAGACAAACAACCAUAGAUUGGAAGGUUGCUCCAAAGGAAACAGAACUAAUGUAUUCGACAAGAACUGGCAUUCUAGAACUGAAGAAAAUCCAUUUACUGGUGUUUGGAGUACUCCAAAAGGCACAAGUGAGGUUUUGCAACGGACCGAAAGGAAAUCCAGUCCACUUAAUGAGCACUCUAACACAACAUCAUCAGAAGUUAUAUCAGUUGGUGGUAUCAUUAAUAGAUACUUCACAAAUUUCAGUGAGGUGAACAGUUUUGGUAGCCCCUGUAGCCCUGAUUUUCGGUCUAGACCAUCAAAACUACCACUGAAGGGUAAACUUAACUGUAACUGCCCAAGCAUUCAAGUGGAUGCCUCAGCAGAGUUUGCAGUUGAAACACCACCAAGACUGUUGACUACCUUGUCUUCAACUGAACCAAGCCCCGGAAGUUUAAGCAAUGCCGUUAUAAGAAGCAGAGUUGGGAAAUCCUUAAUUAUGGCCUGCCAUAAUCUUGGUAAUUCAGCAACUCCACGAGGAUCAGCGGCCUCUCUGUGCAGAUCCAGAAACAGAAAGCACAUGAGUCGAAAUACUUUGCCCAUAAAGCUUUCAGUCUUCGAAAUUAGUGAAGAUGAUGAGUAAGGGAACUGAAGCCAUCCACUUGUACUGGCUUCGGUUGUUGGAAAUGUAGUCCACCAACAUCUUAAGCAAAGAAAUUGCUCCGGUGAUAGAGCUAGUGCUUGCGGAGAAUUGAGACCAGACAUUUGGAAAGAAGAAGAAGGACUUCCGUUGUCCCGUUGGCUUUUGCUGAUUGAAUUACUAUUUCAUGUCCAGGACCUGUGAUGACAUUUUCUCAGGAAAGGAGCAAGGUUUCUCGUGAACCUUUGCAGCCCACGAGGCGGAACAUUUUUAGUGAGUGAUGAUACUUGAAUCGGCACUGAGGAAACAAAAUAAGACAUUGAGCCCUGUUUUUCCUUAGCCGGUCUCCAGCUGGUGCCCUCGAGGCACACAGCUUGAACUGUCGCUGAAACCUGUCCUUGGAGGUACACUUAAUAUAAUCUUUCUCAGACGUGGUGAAUUCUGUUGUGGGCUUGGCACACAGGACCUGCGCAUUAGACGGGAAUACGGUCAAGCUUUAGGUGGCUGUCCAAUAGUUUAUGGUCUAUACAUGGUUGUCCCGUCAGAAUCUCCCUGAAUACUCAGAACUCACAAACUUAAGAGUCAUUUCUUGAGAAAUGAGACGAUUAGUCGUCCUUCAUGGUCCUUGCAGAGACAGAGAGAGGACGACCUAGAUAUCUGAGUUGCCAAGUGUGGAAAGCAGCAACCUGACAUUGCAUAACAAUGCUUGGUUGGCUUUUACGUUUGAAUAACUUUUGGCCGUUCAAUUCAGACCGUCUGCUCUUUCUUACUUCAUAGAAAAA
Rhodamnia argentea is the source of this 1921-nucleotide RNA transcript. RefSeq lists it as uncharacterized. NCBI's taxonomy places the organism in Eukaryota, Viridiplantae, Streptophyta, Magnoliopsida, Myrtales, Myrtaceae. The record is from RefSeq and is a predicted model, not a curated record. The transcript has 3 exons.